GAUGAACGCUGGCGGCGUGCCUAACACAUGCAAGUCGAGCGGAGAUAUAUUUCUGGAGAGCUUCGGCAGGAAGGGAAUAUAUUUUAGCGGCGGACGGGUGAGUAAAGCGUGGGCAAUCUGCCCUCUGCACAGGGAUAACUGAGAGAAAUGUCAACUAAUACCUGAUAAGCUUCCGGGUUGGCAUCGACCCGGGAGAAAAGAUUUAUCGGCAGAGGAGGAGCCCGCGUCUGAUUAGCUAGUUGGUGGGGUAAGGGCCUACCAAGGCGACGAUCAGUAGCCGGCCUGAGAGGGUGAACGGCCACAUUGGGACUGAGACACGGCCCAAACUCCUACGGGAGGCAGCAGUGGGGAAUAUUGCACAAUGGGGGAAACCCUGAUGCAGCAACGCCGCGUGAAGGAAGAAGGGUUUCGGCUCGUAAACUUCUAUCGACAGGGAAGAAAGAAAUGACGGUACCUGAAUAAGAAGCCCCGGCUAACUACGUGCCAGCCGCCGC
This 494-nucleotide ribosomal RNA is filed under the name uncultured bacterium. RNAcentral describes it as "bacterial SSU rRNA". It matches the Rfam family "Bacterial small subunit ribosomal RNA", at positions 28 to 518 of the family's 1533-position model. The record is from RNAcentral.